Molecule: long non-coding RNA, 280 nt
Filed under: Lathyrus oleraceus (garden pea)
Lineage: Eukaryota; Viridiplantae; Streptophyta; Magnoliopsida; Fabales; Fabaceae
Description: Pisum sativum (pea) long non-coding RNA (PSAT_LNC032957)
Source: RNAcentral
AACAUCAACUCAAAAUCAUAAUCAUACUCAACCCAACACAAAACACACGUAUAAUAUUGGAAUACAUCCAUUCAUAUUAUACGCCAUACAUAUAUUAUGCAAUGAGACUCCAUGCAUGCGGUACCGACUAUUCGUGAACACAUAGUUCAACCUCACCGAUCAAACCCAGAUACGGCUACCAAGCUCACUAGUCCCACUCAUUUGAGACCUAGUGACUCACUCACUAAUUCCUCACCAUGGGAAUUAGCUACCACCCCAAGGGCUAUGCUAUGCACGCUAA